RNAcentral lists this ribosomal RNA (253 nucleotides) under uncultured bacterium. Its description in RNAcentral is "partial 16S ribosomal RNA". It matches the Rfam family "Bacterial small subunit ribosomal RNA", at positions 524 to 776 of the family's 1533-position model. The record is from RNAcentral.
UACGUAGGGUGCGAGCGUUAAUCGGAAUUACUGGGCGUAAAGGGCGCGUAGGCGGCCUUCUAAGUCAGACGUGAAAUCCCCCGGCUUAACCUGGGAACUGCGUCUGAUACUGGAGGGCUUGAGUGCGGGAGAGGGAUGUGGAAUUCCAGGUGUAGCGGUGAAAUGCGUAGAUAUCUGGAGGAACACCGGUGGCGAAGGCGGCAUCCUGGACCGACACUGACGCUGAGGCGCGAAAGCUAGGGUAGCAAACGGG